RNAcentral lists this unclassified non-coding RNA (329 nucleotides) under soil metagenome. RNAcentral describes it as "partial contains 5.8S ribosomal RNA, internal transcribed spacer 2, and large subunit ribosomal RNA". The stretch from base 1 to 120 matches the Rfam family "5.8S ribosomal RNA", at positions 35 to 154 of the family's 154-position model. The record is from RNAcentral.
GAUGAAGAACGUAGCGAAAUGCGAUAAGUAAUGUGAAUUGCAGAAUUCAGCGAACCAUCGAAUCUUUGAACGCACAUUGCGCCCCCUGGUAUUCCGGGGGGCAUGCCUGUCCGAGCGUCAUUACAACCCUCAAGCUCAGCUUGGUAUUGGGCCCCGCCGACCCGGCGGGCCCUAAAGUCAGUGGCGGUGCCGUCCGGCUCCGAGCGUAGUAAUUCUUCUCGCUCUGGAGGUCCGGUCGUGUGCUCGCCAGCAACCCCCAAUUUUUUUCAGGUUGACCUCGGAUCAGGUAGGGAUACCCGCUGAACUUAAGCAUAUCAAUAAGCGGAGGA